AUGAAAAGAUUUCUUACAGUAGACAGGACCAUGCAUCUAUCUCUUUGUUCUGUAUUUAUGUUCUGAAUGAAUAGGAUUUUUUUUUUUUUUUUUUUGACAGGCAGAGUGGACAGUGAGAGAGAGAGACAAAGAGAAAGGUCUUCCUUUGCCGUUGGUUCACCCUCCAAUGGCCGCCGCGGCCGGCGCACCACGCUGAUCCGAUGGCAGGAGCCAGGAGCCAGGUGCUUUUCCUGGUCUCCCAUGGGGUGCAGGGCCCAAGCACCUGGGCCAUCCUCCACUGCACUCCCUGGCCACAGCAGAGGGCUGGCCUGGAAGAGGGGCAACCGGGACAGAAUCUGGCGCCCUGACUGGGACUAGAACCCGGUGUGCCGGCGCCGCUAGGCGGAGGAUUAGCCUAGUGAGCCGCAGCGCCGGCUAUCUUGUUGAGUUCUAAAGAAAACCUUGAUGUGGUCUAAUAGCAACUAAUGAAUCUAAGGAUCAAUUUGUCAACAACUGUUGUCUUUAAACUUUUAAGUUUUCAUUUCUGUGAACCUGAAAUAUCCAUCGGGUGAGGAUCCUUUUUUUCUGCCAAGGGCCAUUUGGAUAUUUAUAACAUCAUUUGCAGGCCAUACAAAAUUAUCAACUUAAAAAUUAGCUUGCUAUAUAUUUCUUGAAUUUCAGGUCCUACCUGUGGUUACCUUGGCAGGCAGACCAAAUUAUUUCAUGGGCCUUAAACAGCCCACAGGACAGA
Non-coding RNA from Oryctolagus cuniculus (rabbit), 730 nucleotides. The record is from RefSeq and is a predicted model, not a curated record. NCBI's taxonomy places the organism in Eukaryota, Metazoa, Chordata, Mammalia, Lagomorpha, Leporidae.